RNAcentral lists this unclassified non-coding RNA (292 nucleotides) under uncultured fungus. RNAcentral describes it as "sequence contains ITS1". The record is from RNAcentral. Lineage: Eukaryota; Fungi.
GGACUACUGGGGUAUCUAAUCCUGUUUGCUACCCACGCUUUCGUAUCUCAGUGUCAGUAAUGGUCCAGGAACCCGUCUACACCACAGGUGUUCCUCCUGAUAUCUACGCAUUUCACCGCUACACCAGGAAUUCCGAUUCCCUCUCCCAUACUCAAGCAUCGCAGUCUUCGGCGCACCCUCCCAGUUAAGCCAGGAGAUUUCACACCAAACUUACGACACCACCUACAUACUCUUUACGCCCAAUAAUUCCGAACAACGCUUGCUGCCUACGUAUUACCGCGGCGGCUGGCAC